UACGAAGGGGGCUAGCGUUGUUCGGAUUUACUGGGCGUAAAGCGCACGUAGGCGGAUAUUUAAGUCAGGGGUGAAAUCCCGGGGCUCAACCCCGGAACUGCCUUUGAUACUGGGUAUCUUGAGUCCGGAAGAGGUGAGUGGAAUUCCGAGUGUAGAGGUGAAAUUCGUAGAUAUUCGGAGGAACACCAGUGGCGAAGGCGGCUCACUGGUCCGGUACUGACGCUGAGGUGCGAAAGCGUGGGGAGCAAACAGG
Molecule: ribosomal RNA, 253 nt
Filed under: uncultured bacterium
Lineage: Bacteria
Description: partial 16S ribosomal RNA
Rfam family: Bacterial small subunit ribosomal RNA
Source: RNAcentral